This 510-nucleotide ribosomal RNA is filed under the name uncultured bacterium. Its description in RNAcentral is "partial 16S ribosomal RNA". It matches the Rfam family "Bacterial small subunit ribosomal RNA", at positions 28 to 507 of the family's 1533-position model. The record is from RNAcentral.
GACGAACGCUGGCGGCGUGCUUAACACAUGCAAGUCGAACGAAGAGCGAUGGAAGCUUGCUUCUAUCAAUCUUAGUGGCGAACGGGUGAGUAACGCGUAAUCAACCUGCCCUUCAGAGGGGGACAACAGUUGGAAACGACUGCUAAUACCGCAUACGAUCUGACCUCGGCAUCGAGGAUAGAUGAAAGGUGGCCUCUACAUGUAAGCUAUCACUGAAGGAGGGGAUUGCGUCUGAUUAGCUAGUUGGAGGGGUAACGGCCCACCAAGGCGAUGAUCAGUAGCCGGUCUGAGAGGAUGAACGGCCACAUUGGGACUGAGACACGGCCCAGACUCCUACGGGAGGCAGCAGUGGGGAAUCUUCCGCAAUGGACGAAAGUCUGACGGAGCAACGCCGCGUGAGUGAUGACGGCCUUCGGGUUGUAAAGCUCUGUUAAUCGGGACGAAAGGCCUUCUUGCGAAUAGUGAGAAGGAUUGACGGUACCGGAAUAGAAAGCCACGGCUAACUACGUG